Non-coding RNA from Picea glauca (white spruce), 51 nucleotides. The record is from Rfam. NCBI's taxonomy places the organism in Eukaryota, Viridiplantae, Streptophyta, Pinopsida, Pinales, Pinaceae.
CCAAAGGCUCUUCUAGUAGCAGAGCCAACUCACAUUCUCAAAGGAAAGAAA